GCCCUCGUAGUUUAAUGGAUAGAACGCGGGAUUGCGGAUCCCGCAAUCAAGGUUCGAUUCCUUGCGAGGGCACCA
Molecule: transfer RNA, 75 nt
Filed under: Minisyncoccota bacterium
Lineage: Bacteria; Bacillati; Minisyncoccota
Description: tRNA-Arg
Rfam family: tRNA
About the family: Transfer RNA (tRNA) molecules are approximately 80 nucleotides in length. Their secondary structure includes four short double-helical elements and three loops (D, anti-codon, and T loops).
Source: RNAcentral